UUUGCAUUUAUAAUGGACCGAAGUUAAAAUAAAAUUUGACAUAUUCAUGUACUUUGUGGAACAGAUAAAAUAAAAUAGAAUAAUCGCCAGAGACCAAGGUAUUAUUAGCAUUACAUUAUAUAGAUAUUGAAUAACAAUGCAACACUCUUUUACAAUCUUAUUUAUGUAAGUACACCCGUGCACAUAAUUCUAGUUUUCCAAUUGAUGCAAAUCGACUCUUCUCUCUGUUUCAUUGAGACAAAUCUAGUUAGGCACAGGAACCUCAGUAGUAGUAAUCAUUUCCUUCCCUUCAACCUUCUCUUCUAAAUCUUUACCAUUAGAGACAGCAACAGAAGGCUCAUCAGCAGGAGGAAGCAAUCCCUUUGCUCGGCAGGUUUCCACAGCUCCUACGAACAUAUCUUCCAAGCUGUACUGGAACUGAAAACCCAGGUCUGUAAGCUUCUUGGAAGAGAAAAUGGGAGUCUUUAUAUCCUCCUCCAUGCCUUUAAGCUUGAUAGGAAUAUUAUACUCUGGGUAUUUUUGUCUAAGCAAUUCUGCAAGCUCAUGAAUGGUGGCAUCGUGCGAGUUGCAGAUGUACCUCCCCUCAGCUUUUGGAUGCUCAAACAGAAAAAUGUGAGAAAUGCAGAGAUCAUCCAAGUGUACGUAAUGGCCUUGUUUUAUAAUCGAAUAAUGGGCUUCAUUUCCAGUGAUAAGCGAAAGUGCAGUUAUAAGGCUAGGCGGCAUUGAUGGCAUUAUAAAUGGGCCAACAACUAGAGUUGGGAUAAUACUGAUAAAAUCAAGGUUGUUCUCUUCAGCGAACUUCCAUGCAGCUUUCUCUGCCAGGGUCUUUGAGACGAAAUACAUCCAUCCAGUCAUCUUUGUUGCUUGAACGAAUUCCAAAUCACUCCAGCAAUUUUCGUCAUACACUUGUUUUCUGUGCUCCUCAACGUCCACAGUUCCUGCAGAUGAAGUGAAUACUAUCCUUCGAACAGUUUUUGCCUUUGCACAUGCCUUCAUGAUGUCCAAAACCCCAUUGAUCGUUGGUUUUAUAACUUCAUUCUCAGGGUCCUUGGACUCGAAAUCCAUGGGUGUAGCAACAUGGAAAACACCAGAGCACCCUUGAAUGGCCUCAUCAAAACUUCCCUCUAUAGAGAGGUCAGCUUUCCACAAGCUCAAGUGGGUCUUAGCCUUAGGCAACUCUAACAAAUGUUGAACUUUUUUCACAUUAUCAGGGUCUCGCACAGUGGCUCGAACAGUAUAGCCACGCUCGAGGAGUCUCAUGAUCAGCCAUGAGCCGAUGAACCCAGAAGCACCAGUCACACAAACGGUUUGGCUUUUUGUUCCCAUGAGAUUAAUUUUUUAAAAACCUAAUCUGAAAUCCGAAUGAUUAUACUAUAAUAAAACGGUAACAACCGAUAAACAACAAUGGAUGGUUCCGGCAGUUAAGCUUUGUCUUGGCUCAAUUUAUAGACCAAGAACAAGAAGAACUCUCUUCAUCUAAAUUUUUAGCUCAACUUUAUCGUAACGUGAUCAUCCACCGAUUCUUCCUUCUUGACCGGUGGAUGAUGCUUCCUCUUCCUCACCUGCCCUCCAAUUUGUCUAGUGUGUAAAAAACGCAAGUCAAAGACCGAGAAGAAGAUAGAGUCGGUUAGAGAAGGAAUUAAAUUAUGUACUCUUUUCCAA
RNAcentral lists this unclassified non-coding RNA (1662 nucleotides) under Hevea brasiliensis (rubber tree). The record is from RNAcentral. Lineage: Eukaryota; Viridiplantae; Streptophyta; Magnoliopsida; Malpighiales; Euphorbiaceae.